UAUGUCUAAUCCCACAAUAAUGUCCACCUUCUCCUUCUACUCUAUCUCCGCCGCCGCCGGCUUCCACCUGUUAAGAUAUUAGGUCAACACGUCAUAACUGUCUUCCAACUUCCCAUGUGAAGGUUAGUAACUCAAUCACAACUUGUUUGAUUUCUUUAAUAAAAGGGGUUUUAAAAAUGUAUGAACAAAAUAUAUUAGAAUGAUAUCUCAGUUCAGAAUCAUUUCAAAAUAAAAGAUAUUUUGAAAUAUUUGAAUCACCAAUCAAAAGUUUCAUGGGCACGCUUCAAGGAUAAAUGUCAAGGAUAAAUGAUGGUUCUGUUAAUUAAUAAUGCAUCGUCAGUCGGCAGAUUAGGACCCCGAAAUUUUUGACACACCUGAAAAUAGUUCUCAGUUUCAUUUGAUUUUAAUCUUUUUUUCUUAACUUUUUACAUCAUUUCAUAAAAAUAGACAGAUAUUUACAGAAAAUGAUGAAGAUUACAAGUACUACUUUCAAAGCAAUAUAUAGACAUGUUUAUUCUUACUACUCAACUUGAGAAAAAAUGGUAUUUUGAUUCAACAUACCCUUCAGCGUCCCACAGAAAAGACCCAAAUGCUACAGAUUCCAGAAUAAGCAUUUUCAGUCCAUUAGAUGAAAUUGCAAUUGUUUCAUCAUUUGAAAUGUUAACAGAACCAUCAUCGGAAAUCUUGAUGUCCGGUCGGCCAAACAACGCCUGUGUUUGUUUCUCGAUCACUGAGAUCACUUCCUUCGAUCUUAUAGUGGCGUACCGUUGCAGUGUCUCAGGAUCAAGUUG
Molecule: long non-coding RNA, 791 nt
Filed under: Zostera marina
Lineage: Eukaryota; Viridiplantae; Streptophyta; Magnoliopsida; Alismatales; Zosteraceae
Description: long non-coding RNA (ZMAR_LNC002913)
Source: RNAcentral